This is a non-coding RNA of Rattus norvegicus (Norway rat), 4901 nucleotides long. Lineage: Eukaryota; Metazoa; Chordata; Mammalia; Rodentia; Muridae. The record is from RefSeq and is a predicted model, not a curated record.
AGAAGUCACAAAGAUACACAGGGUAUGGAGAGAUGACAUCAGUGCUCGGUCACACCGGACCUAAUAACCAAGCACUUGAAAGGGAUCUAGACCUUCAUACCUGAGAAAAGGAGGUUUGAGACGGAGGCAAGACCUUGCCUGCCCCCACAUGACCCAGUGGUGAAGGAACGGAGGGAGGGAAGAUGAGAGGCCACUGCCACAGUCCAGAGGUCACAGCAGCUGAACAGACCACACUGGGAAUGGGCUGGACUCCUAUAGCUCUAACCCGCCAAGAACAUUCCAGAAGCCAUGCCAGCGUCUUUACUCCCCAUGGAGACUGGAGUCUGAUUCUGUCACCUGGUCGAGCCUGAAGGUGUGCGUGCGUGCAAGGCUCACAGCCAAACCCCCUAUCCAGAUAGCCUGGGUCACUUCAGGUCAGUUGGUCUACUACUAACACAGAACAAGCAGGGCUCAGAGAGGCCCGAGCCUGAGCAGCACAGCUGGAACAGAGUCAGAACUGGAGAACAGACAGAAGGCUUAGAGUAAGCCUGCCUCAGGGUAACAGGCCUGUCAUCGGAGCUGUGCCGAAUAUAUGCAAGGCUUAGGCAAAGUUAUGAUUUCAAGGCCUGCCCAGGCAGGCUACAGAGUACAUUCAAGGCUGGCUGAUCGAUUUAGCUAGACCAUAUUUGGAAAAGUAAUAUAUGUAUACAUACAUGCAUGUGUGUGUGUAUGUAUGUAUGUAUGUAUGUAUACAUAUAUACAUUAAAAGAGAUUUAAAGAUACGGCUUGGUGGUAGAGGGCUAGUCUAGCAUGGACAAGGCCCAGAGUUCCUCCUCUAACACCAGGGUGUGGGAACCCAUGGAAUUAAGCUCCCUUGUGGACAGCCUCCCUGGGGACAGGGCUUGGCCACCCGCUGCUCUGCGGAUCCUCAAGCCCACAUGGCUACAGAUGUAGACCCAUCCCGCCCAUCUGGCACCCAAGGAGCCAUUUAGACCUGGGCUGCAGCAGGUCUGUCCGUAGGUCUGUCUGCCUGAGGCCCUCAACUCCAGGCCCUGACAUGCCAGACACUAUCCCACCCAUCAUAUCUCAUCUCUAGGGACUCCAGAGUCCCAAACAUGGGCCAGCUCUGGCUCCUACAUGAAGCCUGAGGAGUCCCAAGCCAUUGUUCCACACAAGCUGUCACCUAUGCAGCCCAGCCCCCACGGGGCACACAGACUGUGCUAACAUGGUCACGGGGGCUGAUCUUGUCCCAUCAGUCUCCAACCUUCUGAUCCAAGGCUUUGCAGAACCCUCACUCCACACUUCCCAGUCACACCAGGGUGUGACUACAGCCACACACCGGGUCCCACCACAGGGUCUGUAUGCUCCUGCCAGCUCGAGAUACCUUCCCAAUUCUUUCCAUCACCCACGCCCUCUCUCCUCACCUGGCGGUGGCUCCAGUGCUCCGUCCCAUCCUCACACCCACACCAGAGCUGGCCUCCAUCCUUCCACCCAGCUUUUCUUUCCCUGUCCCCAGCCCCAGCCCCUUGCCUGCCCCCAGCCCCAGCCCCUUGCCUGCCCACACCAGCAGUGGCAGCAGCUGACAAGCCUAUAGGCCUGGCUGGGGUGUACCUUGGUAAGAUCUUCAGACCCACUUGGCUGCCCAGUGGCCAGCAGGGGUGCCGGGCGCAGCAGGGUAUCAGGUAGUAGCUCCAGGCGUGGGCGCUUGCUCUCUGUGAAUUCUAUGUCGGGCUUGCCCAGUUCAGGCAGGAAGGUGCGAGACUCAGGGCGCAGGUGGAGCUCCUGAGACCUGUGGGAGGCCAGGGACACACAUUACACAGGAGACAGAAGCUUAGGACCAAGAAUCUGGGUGUCUGCCUAGCCGGGUUCUCAUGAGGAGACUUGUUAGAAGGUUCCUCUGUCUUCCCUGAUAGGAGAGGACAUAGUUCUGACUCAUGAGGACUUGUUGUGACUACCCAGCCUGAAAACCCCACAGACCCUCUUGAGCUAACCAGAAAUGCAAAACGUAAAACCUAAACCACUGCUACUGACCAAGACUACAUUUUAACAAGCCCCUGGGGGUUUUAAAGCACAGGCCUGAGAAGCACCAUAAGGUUUACGCAAAGAACAGCAUACACAACACUUUUCCUUCUAACCCUCCCUGGGCAGACAUCACUAGCCGAUCACAGCACUUCUGCUAUUAAAAACUGAUCUAGCCAGCAGGCAGAAAGAUGUGAGCCUUUUGCCUCUUAAUUUUCCUUAACCUUGGGUAGAUAGAUGGUCAUACCUCCUCUACCUAUAAGUCCUCAGCCCCUGCUCCUGGGAGAGUACAGCCCUGUCAUGGCCCUAGGAUGCCACCAGGAGGAAGUGGUGCUGGGAAGGGCUGAAGUCUGGACCCCUGCAGCUUUACCUACAAAAACUAUCAUUAUCUACCUGAGAGACACCAUAGCCUAGACAAAAUGUGGCGGCAACAUCUCCUCACCGUUCACUUCCAGGCUGGAACUCAGAUAGCAGUGAGGGCCGCCUCCUCUGUGGCUGGAUAAUGGAGCCGGGUGACAGGUGUGAGGUGUAGUCACGAGGGUGGUGUUGGUACUCAAGCAGCCCCACGUCCUGUGGAAGAAAGGGAGCAGUGAGCAAGCACAGGAGCAAUGGCAGCUUCCUUGCCACCAAGAGGCCCAGAUGAGUUUCCAGCCUACAUCCUCUAGCUACAAUUGCCACAGCGAUGUUUCCCACCAUGCUUAGAGCCCUGGAGCCACAAGGUACAGCUGGGGGUACCCCUUACUGUAGAAGAUCAUAAUAACCUUAGUACUGGACUCUACAUCCCCACACAGGCCACACUGGGGCAUGUAUGUGGUAUCCCUGUAUCGUCCCACUCUCUAGCUGGUACAUCUGAGGGGGACGAGGGCAAAGCACAGGUCCUCUAAGGCCACGGGCUGGACAACGGUCAGCCUGUAAAUCCCACUGCCCAUACCAGUGAGCUGCAGGUUUAGAGAACAAUGUGUCACUUCUCCCAGGCCCUGCCUACUGACAUGGGGCUGGGUAUUGCCUUAGCAGGGCACUGGUGAGCAUGGAGCGGCCCACAGGGCAGAAAUGUAUCUGCCUUCAAUGGAGACCCAGGUCUCCUCGGACAGGUAUCCCUGUGAAGAGUCAAGCUCAAAACACGAAAGAGAGAGGAAGAUUGCGUAGCCAGGACAGAUGGAGAUAUAUAAACCCAGAUCCCAGCCAAGCAGCUGUUCAGGAGUCCCGCCCACCACGAGAAAAACAGCUAGCUUAUGAAGUGUGGGGGAUGGGGGGAGGGAGGCUACACCCUCCCGCUUUGAACAGUGAUUGUGAUUUCGCUGGUCAGACCACACCUGGUGUUGAGGUCUGUGAAGGAGGCCUCAAUCUUAGCCUACCCUUGCAGAAAGAGUGCUGGGGAGUCAACACAGUUGACAAAGUCCCCCAACCUUGAAGUCUCAUCGUGGUGCCAGGCUCCCUCCCUGCUCACUAGCGUUCUACCAACCCCUACAUUUUUCACAAGGGUCAAGAUCACCUUAUCACGGUAAGAAAAUGAGGGAAUUGAGAGAGGAGAGAGCUGAGUGUGCACACCAUUUAAAAAAAAAAAAAAGACCACCAGGCCAAUCAAUCUAGUCUAUCAGCCUAGACACUUGAUUACAUGCACGGCAAUCGAUUAGUAAUGUCUGUCUCGGGUAUAGCCGCAGAUAGCGUGAACUAUAGAACUAUAGGUUAACUUAGUUUUCCAUUGGCAUAUUUUCUCCUUUUCGGUCCUUUUUAUUUUGUUUUAGAUUUCAUUUUAUCUCUAUGUAUCUGUGUGUAUGUCUAUGUGCCUAUGCACUGGAGUCCAGUGCCCACCUAAGCCAGAGAGAACCUGAAGACAUUGGAUAUCCUGGAGUUAGAAGCAGCUAUGAAUUGCUCAACAUGGAUGCGUAAAACCAUGCUCAGAUCCCCUGAAAAGCAGCUCAGGCCCUUUUGAGGCCCUGGCUUUGUGUCUUAAACAGUUCUUACUGCAAAGAAUCAAUGAUAGCAGCUAAGUGUGCUGAGGCUAUAGAAGCAGCCAGGCUCCUGCCCCUAGAGGAUGAGCAACUGGGAAACCUCAGAGACCAAACAGCAAGGGAAGAUCAAGACCCUGCAAAACAAGACCCAGGAGAAGGACAAGGCUACCAGGAUGACCCUGCCAAGGAGGACUUGGAGAGAAGGGAUCCCAUACUCAGAUCGCUGCAACCAAGCCUUCUGCACGAGCUGUCUAAUGCGACCCCCCCAAACACAAGGAGGAUAUCAUGGGUGGUGUGAACAACAAGAGAAUGAGGGGCCCAGAAGCAAGAACGGUUCUUCCCGGUCGCACAGCAAGGACAGCACAGGUUCUACAGGGUGAGGCUCGACUGGCACCUCCGCAGGGAACGGGGACAGUCACAGGUCACAGGUCACAACCUGCCCAGUGGCUGAUCACAACACCCGACUCAAGAGUAGAGGCCCACCCCACCCCCCGGAUAUUUCCACUACAAACAGAACAAGUGGGGAGCCCCAAGAAACACACUGUACCCCAGCACAAGUCUAAGAAGUAGAGACGCACACGAGGUCAUAUGGAGACAGAGUUCAGCCGAGCCCUGUGAACCCUGGAUUCACAGGUCACUCCUGAGUGGUGUGUUCAUUCCAACGGAGCCUCACCUCAGGGCUUCCACGCAGCCUGGGGCACUGCCCACCCAGACGCCAUGCAUCGCCUGUCCCUCCUCUCCCGUCCCAGCUCCACCAACGACAUUAGGCUCACCACUUAAAACAUGGCCUCCUCCAGCCUCGCCUUUGCUCACUGUUCCCCAAGAGAAUGUCAGCUCCCCAGAGUGAGAGGGUUUCUCAGGCCUUCACAGCUCUGUCCCCAAGGCUUGGAAAUUGGCCUGUGACAAACCUAAUCUGCAUUUGUCCAACAAAUGAACGAGUGAAUCCAUUAA